RNAcentral lists this ribosomal RNA (92 nucleotides) under Caerostris darwini. Lineage: Eukaryota; Metazoa; Arthropoda; Arachnida; Araneae; Araneidae. The record is from RNAcentral.
CUUAUCGGUUCUCGUUAGAUCACCGAAGUCAAGCAUCAUUGGGCGCGGUCAGUACUUGGGUGGGUGACCACCUGGGAACACCGCGUGCCGUU